CAUUGCUUUGCCAAUUUUAAGAUACCUAAUCUGUUAAAUUAUAAAACAAAAACUGUUCAAAAGCAAAUCCUAAUUAUAUUAUUGAGUUUUCUCUGUGUUUGGGAGAACAAAAAUGUUCUGAUUUCAUUCUUUCACUGUCAACAAACUGGGCCAUCAAGUCAUUUGCAGCUAAUACUGAUAUAAUUCAAUCAAAAACAUCAACGAAAUAUUGAGGUUAAUUCAAAGGAGAAAAAGACGAAAUUCUAUGGCAAAGCGCCACUCAAAAAUUUUUUUUACCAUUGCUGCCUUAUGUAUGAACAGAAAUUUUCUUAAGGCCGAAAAUUCAAAAGAGAAAGCUCAGAAUUGCCUGAAAGGUACUUCUAGUAUUUGAGUUCAAUGAAAACAGCCCACUUUGAACUUGACGGCUUGAAAAUUAUUUCCUCCCAUAUUGAGUGAACCGAAUUUAAAGACGCAAAGCGAAGCUUCAAGCUAAUUUCACAGGUCAUGUGAUCAGCCUCGAAAAAAAAACAGUUCGGCGAACUUCCAAAAGACGUUUCACUAUUCAAGACUCUUCGGGAUUUCUUCCAAGAACCAAUCUUCUUUCUUUCUCAUCAUAUUCCACACAAGGAAACAAUAUUCAAAAUACUUAAAGUUCAAGAAAUGGCUUCGAAAAGUGAAGAUAUUAAACAGGAACAUUCUAAGGCGGCAAAGAGAAACUCGGCGGGAACUUCUUACUCGGGUCACAGAAGGCCAAGUCUUCUUUCUACAAUGAAAAUUUACAAGGGAGCUGACAGCCAGAAGACCAGUCAAAAUAAAAGCGGUGACUCCAGUAAGUCAACAGCAAUUUCUGGCAUAAAGAUGGAAACUACAAAUGUUGAUGGAGACGCUCCAAUGAUGUUGCAAGCGACGUCUUCGUCCUCAGAAAAUGCCAGAAAAAGGUCCAAUUCAUUUUCAAGGGAGCCUAAAGACUCGCUCCUGCAGCCACUGAUUAGUAGUCCGGUGAAAAGCAGCCUGAAAUGUCCUGUUGUUGAUCCAAAAAACAAAUCUGGGCCCAGAAGGAAUAGUUUUUGCGUUUCAAUGGAAGUCAAGCAAAAGCAUUCGUCACUCAAAACCUUGGGACUAUUUAAGUGAAUGAAACAUGAAAAUGAACAUUAUUGUAUUUUCUAUCAUAUUU
Long non-coding RNA from Symsagittifera roscoffensis, 1153 nucleotides. RefSeq lists it as uncharacterized. Lineage: Eukaryota; Metazoa; Xenacoelomorpha; Acoela; Convolutidae. The record is from RefSeq and is a predicted model, not a curated record. The transcript has 4 exons.